RNAcentral lists this ribosomal RNA (460 nucleotides) under uncultured bacterium. RNAcentral describes it as "partial 16S ribosomal RNA". It matches the Rfam family "Bacterial small subunit ribosomal RNA", at positions 338 to 795 of the family's 1533-position model. The record is from RNAcentral.
CCUACGGGCGGCAGCAGUGAGGAAUAUUGGUCAAUGGGCGUAAGCCUGAACCAGCCAAGUCGCGUGAGGGAAUAAUGCCCUACGGGUCGUAAACCUCUUUUGCCAGGGAGCAAGGGCCGGGACGUGUCCCGGCCCGGAGAGUACCCGGAGAAAAAGCAUCGGCUAACUCCGUGCCAGCAGCCGCGGUAAUACGGAGGAUGCGAGCGUUAUCCGGAUUUAUUGGGUUUAAAGGGUGCGUAGGCGGGAUGCUAAGUCAGCGGUAAAAUUUCGGGGCUCAACCCCGUCCGGCCGUUGAAACUGGGGGCCGUGAGUGGGCGAGAAGAAGGCGGAAUGCGUGGUGUAGCGGUGAAAUGCAUAGAUAUCACGCAGAACCCCGAUUGCGAAGGCAGUCUUCCGGCGCCCUACUGACGCUGAGGCACGAAAGUGCGGGGAUCGAACAGGAUUAGAUACCCUAGUAGUC